GAAAUAGAAAAUCUUAGUUACUCAAAUUGUCUCGGGAAGGUCUGAGUAAAGGUCAGUGGUACAGUCGGAUACCAAACCCUCUAGGCGGGGGCUCCGCUAACAGCGGUGGUGGGGACCCCAGCAACGCGGGCGCAUUAUCAAGUCCAGGAGUCCAGCAAGGAUGAGACGAGAUUCUGUUGACCCUUGGAAGUUUCCCUGCGACCAGCUAUUUCAGUUCAAUUUGUGACACGACGCAGCGGUCAUAACUCAAUUCAGACUAAUCUCCAGCUUGC
RNAcentral lists this RNase P RNA (272 nucleotides) under Bombyx mori (domestic silkworm). RNAcentral describes it as "Nuclear RNase P". It matches the Rfam family "Nuclear RNase P", at positions 33 to 301 of the family's 301-position model. From Rfam's summary of the family: Ribonuclease P (RNase P) is a ubiquitous endoribonuclease, found in archaea, bacteria and eukarya as well as chloroplasts and mitochondria. Its best characterised activity is the generation of mature 5'-ends of tRNAs by cleaving the 5'-leader elements of precursor-tRNAs. Lineage: Eukaryota; Metazoa; Arthropoda; Insecta; Lepidoptera; Bombycidae. The record is from Rfam by way of RNAcentral.